RNAcentral lists this long non-coding RNA (1237 nucleotides) under Sus scrofa (pig). Its description in RNAcentral is "lncRNA (ENSSSCG00070013823.1)". The record is from RNAcentral. Lineage: Eukaryota; Metazoa; Chordata; Mammalia; Artiodactyla; Suidae.
AUGUUAACAAGAAAUUUCUCUGUCAUGCCUUUUUCAGAAUCUCAACCCAAAGUAGACCAUGUGGAUGACAACUUUGCAACUUGCCUUCUCAAGCUCUUAGUGAUGGUUCUUAUUUUUUAUGUAUUCCGGGAGGAAUGUUUUGGAAAUAAGAAAAGAAAAGGAAAUGAUCAACUGAAGGAAAAUGAUCAACUGAAGGAAAAUGAUCAACUUAGGAAGGAAAAUGGUAAACUUUUAUGACUCUUUACAAAAUAUGAUCUCUCUAUUAACCGUUUCAUAAGAAGUCUUAUAAUACUCUUUUUAUUUUUCAGAUCAACUUAGGAAGGAAAAUGGUAAACUUUUAUGACUCUUUACAAAAUACGAUCUCCCUAUUAACCGUUUCAUAAGAAGUCUUAUAUUACUCUUUUUUUUAAUAAUUUUUUUUUAUUUUCCCACUGUACAGCAAGGGGGUCAGGUUAUCCUUACAUGUAUACAUUACAAUUACAGUUUUUCCCCCACUAUUUCUUCUGUUGCAACAUGAGUAUCUAGACAUAGUUCUCAAUGCUAUUCAGCGGGAUCUCCUUGUAAAUCUAUUCUAGGUUGUGUCUGAUAAGCCCAAGCUCCCGAUCCCUCCCACUCCCUCCCCCUCCCAUCAGGCAACCACAAGUCUCUUCUCCAAGUCCAUGAUUUUCUUUUCUGAGGAGAUGUUCAUUUGUGCUGGAUAUUAGAUUCCUGUUAUAAGUGAUAUCAUAUGGUAUUUGUCUUUGUCUUUCUGGCUCAUUUCACUCAGGAUGAGAUUCUCUAGUUCCAUCCAUGUUGCUGCAAAUGGCAUGAUGUCAUUCUUUUUUAUGGCUGAGUAGUAUUCCAUUGUGUAUAUAUACCACUUCUUCCGAAUCCAAUCCUCUGUCGAUGGACAUUUGGAUUGUUUCCAUGUCCUGGCUAUUGUGAAUAGUGCUGCAAUGAACAUGUGGGUGCACGUGUCUCUUUGAGGUAGGGAUUUGUCUGGAUAGAUGCCCAAGAGUGGGAUUGCGGGGUCAUAUGGAAGUUCUAUGUAUAGAUGUCUAAGGUAUCUCCAAACUGUUCUCCAUAGCGGCUGUACCAGUUGACAUUCCCACCAGCAGUGCAGGAGGGUUCCCUUUUCUCCACAGCCCCUCCAGCACUUGUUAUUUGUGGAUUUAUUAAUGAUGGCCAUUCUGACUGGUGUGAGGUGAUAUCUCAUGGUAGUUUUGAUUUGCAUUUCUCUUAUAAUCAGCGAUGUUGA